Molecule: long non-coding RNA, 6572 nt
Filed under: Sus scrofa (pig)
Lineage: Eukaryota; Metazoa; Chordata; Mammalia; Artiodactyla; Suidae
Description: lncRNA (ENSSSCG00025040712.1)
Source: RNAcentral
GGACAGAUCACCUGUUCUCUCCGAUUCCUGACACCUGCACCCUCCACCCGGUGGCACCUGGCUUGACAGAGGUUUGCAUUCCUUCUGGCUCUUCUGUGUAAUUAUCCUCCGACCGGUUCUCCAUCCCCUGUGAACUUGGUAGAAUUCGGUCCUCUGUUCACCUGUGUUCCGUCUCUCCAGACCAGGAAGUCUGCUGGGGCAUCUCUCCCGGGGUUUUCUGACUUGCAGUCACAUCUUGUAAGACAGCGGUCUUUGCUGAGGGUGGCACUCUCUUCUGCCCGUACCGUGGGCAUUUCCAACCCCAAGGCCACCGGGGCACUCUCUGCCUUGAGGAUGGGGAGGGUGGGCAGCUAGGGGGACAGGAUGGUGAGCAUUCUUAGAUGUGUGGCUGGUCCCACACGACAGAGGAGGAUGCUGGCAAUACUCCCGUCGAGAAAUAAGGUGGACCAAGGACAUGAGAGGACUGUGCCCAAGUUCCUAGUCAGUGCAGCCCAACAGGUUCCAAGGACCAAGGAAACCCUAAGCCUGGGGUAGGGGCCACGCUGGCCCCCUGGGGCCUCCCUUCUGUGCUCCAGGGCCGCCUCUGGCUGUGCCACCCUGUUACGCUCUCCUGUGGUAUUUCUCGUGACACUCAUGAGCCUGCAGGGGCCCUGGCCACAGUCCCCUCGCCUCACACUGGCCACAGCCUCCAGAGUCAGGGCUCAGAGCCUCGGCAGUCACUCCGUGGUGCUUGGCACAGAACGGGUGCUUAAUGAAUAUUUAUUGAAUGAUUUCCAGCUAAUGGAAGAAAGCUAAACAGUACAACACCCAGAGGAUUGAAGUUUAUUGAAAAUCGACCCGAAGGACUGUGGCGAAGAGAAUCUCAAAAGGCAGGGGGUGAGGGAUCGGUAUUUAUUAAGGGCCUUAAAAGUGAGUGCUGCAAUAGAAAGCGCGGUGUCAUAGGACAGGCACGGCCUGGGGCCGAAUCCAGACUCUGCCAGCUGUAGCUGUGUGGCCUUGGGCAAGUGCGUCAACCUCUCUGUGCCUCAUCGCGUUCUCUUUGAAGCAGGAAUGAAGGUGGUACUUAGCUCACAGCUCACGGGGAGAUUGGAGAAGGUAAUGUGCUAGUUCCAGAAAGCACUUGGACAGGGCCUUGCAGGUAUCGAGCGCCGCGUAGGUGUUGUUGGUUUUGUUGCCGAAAUUUGGCCUGCGUCUGCAGGUGCCGAAUUGAAAUGCAGAGACAGAGUCUUGGGUAGUGGAGAACAAGAUAGCUGUAUUGCUUUGCCCGGCAAAGGGGGCCACAGCAGGCUAAUGCCUUAAAGACUGUGCCCGCCUUGGAAGGGGUUGGGAUGUGGUUUUGUAGUUUGGGGAGUGGAAUAAGCAUCAGGGCAGGGCAAGCGCUCAUUGUCUUUCAAAGCUGGUGUCCAGUGGCCCCAGGACUGGUUCUGGGGGUCCUCCUUCUGGAAUGCAGAAGGCUUCAUCAAGCGGUUCUUCCAUCUGUUGGGGCUUUAGUUCUGCGGAAAGGCUCAAAGAUACUGUUAUAUAUAUUCCUUGAGGAGGAGCCAGGACCUGCCCCAAGGGACUGUUGUCCCUUGACCGCUCCUCCCUGGUCUCUGCCUCCCCCGCUUCCCUGAUUGGCACCCGCGUUUUGGAGUUCCGGGAAGGUUCUGGAGGCUGCAGCUUAUUCCCUAAAAGCAAGCCCUGGAGGACACAGAAAGGCUUGUGUGCCGGGAGCCCCAUGGGGCCCUGCUCGGUUGCAGUGUUGGUCAUUUGGUCAUCCCUCUUUGAUGGCUGGGGACACCGAAGGUCGCAUAGCAGAGGCCACAUGGCAGGGGCAGGGAGCCCGGCCGGCGCCCCCACUCUGCUCCUCGCCCCUUGCCACCGCCCUCUACCCACCCCCGUCUCUCCUUCCCACCUCCCUCGUUCAGGGCACCGAGCGGAGGCGAAGAGCAUGAGAAGACACACAUGAAGACCCGGGAGUGAGGUCUGGGCCCUUGGGACCUGGUGGAGCAGCAGGGGUGUCUGAGAUGGAAUCUGAUGUGUCGCCACCUGAGGAUGCAGCCACUCUGGUGGGUGGGGUGGGGGUGGAGCCCCAGUGACAGAAGCCGAGGAAGAGCUGGCCUGAGGGUUUCCUGAUGGCCAGGAGCCCUGGACUGGGCGCCCUGGACAAGGAGCAGGGGUUGACUGUCUCCAGGGGGGAAGCCACUGGGAAGGACAGAGAAGCUGAACGGGGUGGCGGGAGGGAGCCAGGGGGCGUCCCGUGCUCUCUGGGCACAUUUGUCUGAGCGCCCCGAGUCCAGAGAGGAGAGCUGUGUGCCCUGGGGCCAUGAGAACACAUCCCCAGAGCAGCUGGCCUCCCCCCCACGAUGCUCUAGGCAGGAGACAGGGACCAGAGUGGGGUCCUGGAGACCUGGUGCCCCCAGCGCUCCCCCUUUCCCGCCCCCCCCCCCCCCAGCUCUGGGCUUUGGGAGGAACGCCUGCAGCACAGCUUCCCUCCCAAGUCAGCCCAGGGUGGGCAUGGGUCUGGGAGGCGGCUCCGGAGGUGUGGGUCCUGCCCAGACUGAUGCAUCAGGGAAGGCUCCCCUGAGGAGGGGGCCUUAGCUGGAGGGUUGGGGGGACCUGGACUUUAGCCAGGAGGAAAAAUUAAGAACCCAUGGAGUUCCCGUCAUGGUGCAGCGGAAACGAAUCUAAGAACCAUGAGGUUGAGGGUUCAAUCCCUGGCCUCGCUCAGUGGGUUAAGGAUCCCACAGCCACAGCCACAUCAGAUCUGAGCCAUCCCUACAACCUACACCAUAGCUCAUAGCAACGCGGGAUCCUUAACCCACUGAUCGAGGCCAGGGAUCAAACCCGCAUCCUUGUGGAUACUAGUUGGGUUUGUUACUGCUGAGGCACAGCAGGAACUCCUGAUUUUUGUUUUUUCACUGCUCUGAAUUCCUAGCACAGUGGAUAAAAAAACCAGUAUUCCUCAGACCUGCACUCAUGACCAUCCUCCUUGUCUCCAGCGCAGGUGAAAGGAGUUUUGAACUUAAUUCUUUUUUUUUUCCUACGUGUGGUAAAAUUUAUGUACCAUAAACGUUACCUCUUUCACCAUUUUUAAGGGUGCAGUUCAGUGGCAUUAAGUGCAUUCACGUUGUUGUGCAGUAAUCGUAAUUCUCCAUCUCCGAGUGAACUUGAUCCUUGCGUCCCCUAGUCCUGUAUUUCAUAUCUCCAGAUGCUUUUCAACUCAGCUUAUCAGUGGUGGUGGAAAGGGGCCAUUUGGGACUUCUUUUUUUAACCCCUGGCAGCUGUGUUAACCCUCACCCAGGGACCCAGCCUCUCAGCGCCUCCGUUUGCAUCUGUGAAAUGGGCACAGUGCUCCCCACCCUGUGAAAGCCCGGGGAGGGGGGUGGGGGUGGGGCAUCUCUGGAGUUUGCUCGUCUCUGCAAGUUUCUGGUGAGGCUUGAAAUGGUACCACCCUACCCACCUUCCCUGCUCACUUGUCUGCAUUUUCAAACCUGGUUCUAUUCGUUACGCAAAGUCUAAUAGAUGCGGUGCCAAGGAGAAUGACGGCUCGUGUCCGCACUGUGUGGUCGCCCACUGUCACGCAGUAACUCCUCAGGUAUCGACCGGUCCAUGUGGGCAACACCCCGGCUUGGUAUCUGCUGGGCUCUCUCCGUACAGUUUAGGAAACUCUAAUCCAUAAAAGCCCGUUUGAAAUUUCCAUUAGGAGAUUUGCACAAGUGGUUAAAAUUAGUCAUGCAUUCUUGGCCUAAACUGCAGGAAGGGUAUCUUUACUGUGAAAAUGAUUAUGACAUGUUAAAACUGUGUAAUAGUAAGCAGACAGUUUUCCGAGCUGCUGGCUGGGCUCUGGAAAUGCUCUAUUUAUUUUCUCCCUCUUGACUCCUCUUUCAGGCAAGGCUGCCAGUGCGCUGACUUGGAGAACAACUGAGACCCCGGCCGUUUCAAAGCCUGGCCAUCACGUGGCUUCCUCUGUGGGCCAGGCCACCUCUUUGCUUUGCUUUUCCUUUUGUGUGAGAAGGGGCCUUAGAAGACAGCCGCAUUUCCAGUUCAUUCACCUUCUCCCUCCCUCAUUUACCGUUUAGGGAAGGACGACAUUGUUCUAAGGUCGGGGCGACAGCAGUGACUCCUGCGUGCCCAAGAUCAGCCGCCUGGCUUAUUUGAUUACGACUCCUUUGCAGUGCAGCCGUGUUGUUCGUAUUAGAGAAAGGGCUGUGAUUUUCUUUGCCAGUAAAAAGGCAGCCACUUAGAUUUUCCAAAGCCAUUUGCAUUCAGUCUGACGGUGGCUAAAAAUGUAUGUGGAUUUUUCAUCUGAGAGGCUUUCCCUGCGUGUUGUUUACAUUUAUCAAACGUUGUCCUGCCCACCAGUACCUGAUAUUCAUUGUAGCUUCCAGACCUCCCUGACAACAUGGCCCGCGUGAAACCCAAAACAAAACAAAGCAGAAAGAGUCAAGAGGUCUUCUUUUGGGAGAAUAGGGAAACAAGGACAGGCAGGUGUGGCUGUAAAAAUGAGCAGCCUGCCAAGUGGAGGCUCUGCCUUUGUUCUGUCAUCAGUGUGUCGGUUGUCAAUCAAGCCCCCCUCCUCCUUACAAGCCCUCCAAGCUCCUGUGAGCACCCCGCCCUUGGCCCGCCUCUUAGCGUGCAGUGGUGCAGCCUGGAAAAUCGUGAAAUACUUAAAAUAACAGGAAAGACUGGAAAAAGCUGAUGUUUGGGAUUAUCCGAACAAAACAGUGUAAUACUUACUUGCCUUUUUACUUCCUCUGGCUCUUUGUGUUUGAUGAGUCUGUGGAAUGCCACACAGACCAUCCGACUGGGCUGCUUUCCUGCAUACAUAUUACAAAUAAGCAAACCAAACCUCUAUUCCUGCAAUUCUGAUACUUGGCCACCAGGUGGUGGAAGUGUAUCUUGAUUAAGGAAUCGGAUCUGCUAGGUGUAGGCAUUCAUCUGUGUUUUCACUGAGUCACCUUUAUGGAGUGUAGAGCCUGGUGUUGAUGCUGUGGAUAUAGAAAUGAGUUAGACUGAGGAGGCCAUUCUAAAUUAAAUAACCAUAGAGUUCCCUGGUGGCCUAGCAGCUUAAGGAUCGAGUGUUGUCACUGCUGUGGUGCGGGUUAGAUCCCUGGCCUGGGAACUUCUGCAUGCGACAGGCGUGCCCCCCCCGCCCCAGUUUUAAAAAACCCCUUAAGUAAUUUAGGAUUUCGUUGGUUAGUGUGUUUAUCUAGUCUUAGAAAAGGAAGUUAGUAGUCAUUUCGUACUAAGGAAGGGAAAGGAAGCGGGUCCUGGGAUGGCGCUGUGUGUGUAUGGUCUUCCCUUAAUAUUCCUGGUGACCCUGGCAGGCAGGUCUUCUUAUCCUUGUUGUGAAGAGUGGAGUUCAGGAGGAUGGGGCAAGUUGCCCACAGCGCGGGGGCGGGUAAGCCAGGCUUCCCACCAGGGUGGUGUGCCUGCGGGAGGCCAGGCGCAGAGUAGGACAGUCUCCAGCCCGAGGUCUCUGGGCUUUCCAGAUCACAGUUGUCAUCGCAGAGACGCAGCAGGAAUGAUCAAGGGCGGACGUGGUUGACCUGCCGGAGCUACUGUGGGGGCAGCUGGGGCGCCUCUUGCGGGGGAGCCUUCCCUUCCCGAGGAAGGUGUCCUCUGGGACGUGCCAUUGCGGCGUGUGAGCACACGCACCUGCGGACCAGGGGCUGCCGUGCUGGGGGAUGCUGGCCAGUCUGCAUCCGGGAAGGGAGGAGAGCCCCUUCCCCGGGAAAGUGAAGCCUCCAACCGAGAAUGCGGCUGCCCACCCACCCUCCCCGCCUUGGAUGCACAUCAAGAGGGGUUUCUAUUCAAUGGCAAGAAGCAGACAAGCAGCAAGGGCACAAACAUUCUACAAGGAAGGAUCCUGUGCAGUUUACAGAUGACGCUCACGUGCGUGUCGCCUCUCACAUCAGCCAUGUGCGCGGCGCAGGUGUUAUUUUUACAGUUGGAGCCGUUUCGUCGGUGAGGAAACCAAGGCUCAGGAAUUUCGAUAUCUGGCCCCGAGUUUCAUGGCCAGUGAGCCUCAACUCCCAUACCUGGUCUUGCCAGAUAAAAUAUAAGACAGCCCGUUACAUUUGAAUUUCACAUAAACAGCAGAUAACUUCUCAGUGUAGGGAGUGGCCCGGGCAAUGUUUGGGACAUACGUACACUUUAGAAAUAUCACAUGGGAUAUACCCCUACUAUGAAAUAAUCUGUCGUUUAUCUGAAAUUAGAGUUGAACUGGGCACCCUGUAGUUUUGUUGGCUCAGUCAGGCACCCACUGAAGGCACCUUUUUGUUUCUGCCCUACUCUGCCACGUGGUCUGGGUAUCAUGCUAUGAUUCAGUAACUACUCUAGGAAAUCAUAAUUAUUUUCAAAGUUUCUCCUUAUCGAACCCUUAUCAUCUGCUGUAAAGCUACCAAAGCACGUACCUGCAUUACAUCUCCUUCCAGCCGCCUUGAAAGUUGAUGCCCCUUCCCAGAAAAUACUAGGGUUCAGAGAGGAUGAGCCGCUGGCUCACCACCUCUUAAUUAAUAACAGUGAAAAUUGGGAUAAGAACUAGGUGCUGUGCCUUCAAGGACAUGUGUUAUGGAUGUCUACAUUCC